RNAcentral lists this ribosomal RNA (265 nucleotides) under uncultured archaeon. RNAcentral's name for it is "partial 16S ribosomal RNA". It matches the Rfam family "Archaeal small subunit ribosomal RNA", at positions 717 to 982 of the family's 1478-position model. The record is from RNAcentral.
ACACGACUACAUUAGAUACCCGGGUAGUCCCAGCCCUAAACGAUGCGCGUUAGGUGUAUCGGUGACCACGAGUCACCGAGGUGCCGAAGGGAAACCGUGAAACGUGCCGCCUGGGAAGUACGGUCGCAAGGCUGGAACUUAAAGGAAUUGGCGGGGGAGCACCACAAGAGGUGGAGGCUGCGGUUCAAUUGGACUCAACGCCGGAAAACUCAUCGGGAGCGACAGCAGUAUGAUUGCCAGGUUGAUGACCUUGCUUGACAAGCUG